UAACCGCUGUGCUUGUUCAAGGGGGUGGGUACAGAGGCUAAGGUAACUGGUGUGUAACAGAAAGCCCCGAACUUUAUCCCUGGCCAGGAUGAGUACAUUUCCUUUCUGUUGUUCCCAACAAAGGCCAGCAGGCACAAAUGGUCUGCUAUCUGUGUCACUGGGAAGUGGAGAGCAAUUUGUUUCUAUUAAACAGGACUGUCCUCAUCUUCCCCAUUGGCCCUCCCUCAUCUCUCCUGUAUUGACUGAGAUGGCUUUUGUCCUGCAGGUAAAACUCUGCCAGUUAGGGAGUUUUAUUUGAGUUGACCAGGUAAGAAAUGUCCGGCCUUUACAUGGUUUGGAAGAGGCAGGGAUGACUUCCUGAAUUUUGUUACUCAAGUAAAAUUGUGGAGCGUCCAUUCGAAUAAACCGAUCAUCUUUUGAUCUAUUUUUUGGCCCAAUCCGAAUUCUACCCCUACAAUUAGUCCUCAAAACGGAGACAAAUUAAAUAAUAGUAUCUUUAAAUUGAGACGUUAUUCCCACUAGAUGAUGUCAUCAAUAGCUACGUUAGCACUCGGAAAGACAUAACAGCACUGGUUUUAUAACUUUGAAAAGGUUAUGCAAAAACAACAAUUCAUCGCUUACAUCUAAAUGUAAACUUCUUUGAUUUAGAGCACACAAAUGUGAAGAACACAGUGCAAUGCAGCUCGUCCUGCCUGUGAACUACAUGAAUUAAUAUUGUCACUUUUCUUUUGAUUAAUUGUUUAAUUGAAGAUGCCUUCAGUUUCAUAAGGCUUAAGUUGUGAAGAGAAAACGUUCUGAAAUAAUGUGUAUCUGCUUACAACAUGUAUUUUGGUUGUGAAAACUUUUAUUGUGAAAGGGCCAACAACUUCCGGUUUUUCGUGAAAUCUCAUCGCACGUCAAUUCAGCAGAGGCAGAAAAAAAGGAUAAUGGCUGACACUCGUGUGACGACAGAAACGGACUGAAAUUAUUAUUAAAUUAUCAUUUGGAAGGAGAAAGCUGGAACGAGAAAAGGCUCUCCUUUAAAUAGAUCGGUCAUUCUGUCCCCUUUGGAGGAAAGCAGCCCCAAAGUAUGAUGUUUCCACCCCCCAUGCUUCACAGAGAAUGCUCUAUCGCAGGGGUUUUCAAAUCCAGACCUCGAGGUCCGGCCUCCUGCGGGUUUUCCUGAAACCCCGCUUUAUCUGCAGCUGAUUACCUCGACCAGAUUUUCUUUAGGUUGUUGACCAGUUUUAUCCAAGUAGUUCUGGGCUGUUUCCUCACCGUUCUCAAGAUCAUUUGUACGCCACCAGUCUUCUUCAAGUGUACAAUCUCGUUCCUGGUGACCUGUGACAGCUCUAUGGUCUCAGUGAGAGGUUGCAAUCGAACUGUGAGAGAUAACCAGGUGUCAUCAAUACAGGGACUGACAAACUGUCCAGGCUGCACCCCACCUUCACCCACCGGUGGUCCCUAAAACGUGUCAAGGCCCCGGGGGCCGGAUCUGGCCCUCCAGGAUAUUGUCUGCACGGUGGCAUCAGGCCACGGCUCAGGGUUCAGAAAAAGGUCCCCUCUUGCGAUUUCCACAAAGUCGUCUAAAAGAAAGAAGGCAGGAUCCCCCAGGACGCUCUCCAUGGUGGCUCCCUCCACUCAUGAACAUGGGACAGACACCUCCAGCCUCCAGAUGCUCUCAGCUCAAUACGAGCCCCAAGACUGACAUCCACCCAUACUCUCACAGGGCUCUUUGCACGGCCCAUGGGACCUGCUGUGUUAAGAACAUGAUAUAGUAUUUACAAAAAAAUAUUUGUAAAUGGAGUCUAAAAAAAAAAAGUCUGAGCAUGCCGUUGUUUCCAGUCCUGCUGUCGUUGAGGAGGUAAAAUGUCAAGACGUGUGCCAGACGGUCAACCAACAUGUCCAUUCUGAUGAAAAUCAUGUUUUUGGUAGUUUUGACAUGUUAUUUUUUUAGCAUUUUUAUGAC
Long non-coding RNA from Oryzias melastigma (Indian medaka), 1948 nucleotides. RefSeq lists it as uncharacterized. The transcript is spliced from 8 exons. The record is from RefSeq and is a predicted model, not a curated record. Lineage: Eukaryota; Metazoa; Chordata; Actinopteri; Beloniformes; Adrianichthyidae.